Saccostrea cuccullata (small rock oyster) is the source of this 485-nucleotide long non-coding RNA. RefSeq lists it as uncharacterized. NCBI's taxonomy places the organism in Eukaryota, Metazoa, Mollusca, Bivalvia, Ostreida, Ostreidae. The record is from RefSeq and is a predicted model, not a curated record. The transcript is spliced from 2 exons.
AUGUGGAAGCAUCCUCAGGUAGUGUAGAUUCAAGUUUGUUCAAAUCAUGACCCCCGGGGCAAGGGUGGGGCCAAAAUGGCCGAAAGUUUUACAUAGGAAUAUAUAGGAAAAAUCUUUAAAAAUCUUCUUCUCCAGAACCACUGGGCUAGGAAAAAUGAAACUCAUGUGGAAUCAUCCUUAGGUAGUGUAGAUUCAAGUUUGUUCAAAUCAUGACCCCCGGGGCAAGGGUGGGGCCAAAAUGGCCGACCCAAGUUUUACAUAGGAAUAUAUAGGAAAAAUCUUUAAAAAUCUUCUUCUCCAGAACCACUGGGCCAGGAAAGAUGAAACUCAUGUGGAAUCAUCCUCAGGUAGUGUAGACUCAAGUUUUUUUCAAAUCAUGACCCCCGGCCCUGGGGAUAGGGUGGGGCCAAAAUGUCCGACCCAAGUUUUACAUAGGGAUAUAUAGGGAAACCUUUUAAAAUCUUCUUUUCAAGUACUUCAAAGCU